GUUGCAUGGCUGUCGUCAGCUCGUGUCGUGAGAUGUUCGGUUAAGUCCGCUAACGAGCGCAACCCGCGUUGUGUGUUACAAGUGUCACACAAUACCGCCGGUAUUAAGUCGGAGGAAGGUACGGAUGACGUCAAGUCAGCAUGACCUUUAUAUCCAGGGCUACACACACGCUACAAUGGUCAGCACAAUAGGUUGCCAAGUCGUGAGACGGAGCCAAUCCUCCAAAGCUGGCCUCAGUUCAGAUUGUAGGCUGCAACCCGCCUGCAUGAAGUUGGAUUUGCUAGUAAUCGUAGAUCAGCAAUGCUACGGUGAAUACGUUCUCGGGUCUU
RNAcentral lists this ribosomal RNA (329 nucleotides) under uncultured Anaerolineaceae bacterium. RNAcentral describes it as "bacterial SSU rRNA". It matches the Rfam family "Bacterial small subunit ribosomal RNA", at positions 1040 to 1382 of the family's 1533-position model. The record is from RNAcentral. Lineage: Bacteria; Bacillati; Chloroflexota; Anaerolineae; Anaerolineales; Anaerolineaceae.